Long non-coding RNA from Alligator mississippiensis (American alligator), 313 nucleotides. RefSeq lists it as uncharacterized. The record is from RefSeq and is a predicted model, not a curated record. Lineage: Eukaryota; Metazoa; Chordata; Crocodylia; Alligatoridae. The transcript has 3 exons.
UUGUUACUUGCCUCUGCACAGGUAUGGGAAGAGAAGAAUGAACAAACAAUGGCAUGAACACCAACAUGCAGGCACAGAUGGAGGUCCAGAAGGUAACUCAAAGUAAAAAUGGAACACAAAGCACGGAAAUAACUGCUGAAAUAAUAGAUGUGAUGAAAUUAUGUUUUUAAAAAGAGAGUUGCUUCAGAGGACUUAUGACUUCGCUGCCUGUACAAAGAAGAGGACAAAGACAAGUCAAGAGGAAGGAAAACAUUUACAACUUAAUGAGAAGGUAAAUCAACUUACAUUUACUGCAAAUAGGUUGAUAGAAAAU